Molecule: ribosomal RNA, 431 nt
Filed under: uncultured Methanosaeta sp.
Lineage: Archaea; Methanobacteriati; Methanobacteriota; Methanomicrobia; Methanotrichales; Methanotrichaceae
Description: bacterial SSU rRNA
Rfam family: Archaeal small subunit ribosomal RNA
Source: RNAcentral
GGAUUCAACGCCGGAAAUCUCACCGGGGCGACAGCAAUAUGAAGGUCAGGCUGAAGACCUUACCCGAUUAGCUGAGAGGUGGUGCAUGGCCGUCGUCAGUUCGUACUGUGAAGCAUCCUGUUAAGUCAGGCAACGAGCGAGACCCACGUCCACAGUUGCCAGCAUACCCUCCGGGGUGAUGGGUACACUGCGGAGACCGCCGCUGCUAAAGCGGAGGAAGGGAGUGGGCAACGGUAGGUCAGUAUGCCCCGAAUCUCCCGGGCUACACGCGGGCUACAAUGGUUGGUACAAUGGGCAUCUACCCCGAAAGGGGAAGGAAAUCUCUUAAAGCCAAUCGUAGUUCGGAUUGAGGGCUGCAACUCGCCCUCAUGAAGCUGGAAUCCGUAGUAAUCGCGUUUCAACAGAACGCGGUGAAUACGUCCCUGCUCCUU